GGGGUACUUAGAUAAACCAAUAGCAAAGGCGGGUAUUCAACCAUAGAGUGUGAAGACAACUCCGCUUCGGAACCGCGCGUAAGAUUACGAUCCUCCCGGGGCAAGCAAAAGACCUAAUGGUUUUCGACAUGAGGGGCUAUCCAAGGCUAAAGAGUCCAUCGGGCAGUUAAGUAAAGAAAGAAGAAGGAAUAGAGGUGCAUACAAUGAUUAAAAUUAGGGCUAAAGCCUACUGAGAGCUAGACCGAGGCAGGGCGAACCGCAGCCUGUCGUAGCUCAACAGACUGAGACAACUUCCUUCUUACGGGAAGGAGUAGGACCGAAGUUCAAUACAAAACCUUAGGGGACUUUCAGCCCUGAACAAGAACAAAAGAAAAGAGAGAGCUUAGCUGCAGAGACAGGCCCCAGGCAUCGCUUAGAUUAGAUACGUUCAAUAGGCGGCCCCCGGGGUAGGUCUUCCAAUCCCGCCGACACAACCUCGUCGUCACUUACUCCUCACUUUAAACAACUUCCCGAAUGAUCCAACCCAGUCUUUAAUUCCCGCACAAUCCGUAUUAGUUCUGCCCCAGGCUGUGCUAAUCCAAUAUCGAAUUGAGCCGAG
This 598-nucleotide unclassified non-coding RNA is filed under the name Hevea brasiliensis (rubber tree). Lineage: Eukaryota; Viridiplantae; Streptophyta; Magnoliopsida; Malpighiales; Euphorbiaceae. The record is from RNAcentral.